GAGCCGUGUGUCCGGGUGUGCUGAUGCAAUGCCCGGGUGCGCACACCUAGGUGCUUGUCUCGCCACCACACUUCCUUAAAAAGGCUCCUUCCCGGGCGGGAAUCCGGGGGGCUGCUGGCAGGACUGUUAGGUGCUGCCUUCUCCUAGCGGCUCCCCUCCUGCAGAGCCGCAGGGGCACGGUGUCAACCCCAGGCCCCACAGGGCAGAGGCGAGCGCGGGGAGGACUCCGGCCGCUUCCGUGGCCCUCUCCUCUGCCGUAGUUGUUGGCGCUCUGGCCGGUUAUCCCCUGUCUCUUGCACCGCGUUGUCAAAGAGCCGCUGGGCUUGGACAGGGAGGUGGGAAGCGCCUCUCGGGGUGCUGCGGGCCGGGCCGAGCCUGGUCCGGGGCAGUGGGUCCGGGUCUGGGCCCCUCUCCCGGUCUGGCUCCCGGGUCCGCUCUCGGCAGCGCCGCCAGCCGGGCCCCCGCAGCAGCGCUCGCCGCGGACAGCCCGUUUUGCAAAGUACGAACAAAUGGCUGUUUCACCAUUUCCCCCUUCUUUUCUCACGACUUUAACAGAAACCAUGUGAGUCACCCCUCUGAGACAUAACACUACAGGCACCAGAUAAAUGCGGACAGAGGCUUGAAUGCGGAUCCGCCGAUAUUAACCUCCUCUUGGCAAACAUCAGUGGUUGCUGUCUGUGCAGUCUGGAGAGCAGCACAGGCCGAGGUGAGCAGUGUUUUUGCUUCUAAGCGGGAUCAGGGUCUCAGUUCCCAGCUCCACCGGUGAGCACUGCCAAGGGGGGAAACACAGCAACUGGCCUGAGAAAGGAAAGCACUCUCAUGUGUGUGGAGGGUCAGACGCCCAGGGGAUCCCUUGUCACCAGCGCCGGCUGUUGGAGCUGGGCCCCACAAAGGCCACUCAGCAAGUGGCCGCUUUUUGGGAAGUG
Neopsephotus bourkii (Bourke's parrot) is the source of this 926-nucleotide long non-coding RNA. RefSeq lists it as uncharacterized. NCBI's taxonomy places the organism in Eukaryota, Metazoa, Chordata, Aves, Psittaciformes, Psittacidae. The record is from RefSeq and is a predicted model, not a curated record. The transcript is spliced from 3 exons.